UCCGGACUCCUACGGGAGGCAGCAGUGGGGGAUAUUGCACAAUGGGGGGAACCCUGAUGCAGCGACGCCGCGUGAGGGAUGAAGGUCUUCGGAUCGUAAACCUCUGUCAGCAGGGAAGAACGGUCACUGUGCUAAUCAGCAGUGAAUUGACGGUACCUGCAAAGGAAGCACCGGCUAACUCCGUGCCAGCAGCCGCGGUAAUACGGAGGAUGCGAGCGUUAUCCGGAUUUAUUGGGUUUAAAGGGUGCGUAGGCGGGUUGUUAAGUCAGCGGUAAAAGCCCGGGGCUCACCCCCGGCGAGCCGUUGAAACUGGCUGUCUUGAGAUGUCGAGAGGUAUGCGGAAUGCGCAGUGUAGCGGUGAAAUGCUUAGAUAUUGCGCAGAACUCCGAUUGCGAAGGCAGCAUACCGGCGGCGAUCUGACGCUGAGGCACGAAAGCGUGGGUAUCGAACAGGAUUAGAUACCCGCGUAG
This 470-nucleotide ribosomal RNA is filed under the name uncultured bacterium. RNAcentral describes it as "partial 16S ribosomal RNA". It matches the Rfam family "Bacterial small subunit ribosomal RNA", at positions 330 to 793 of the family's 1533-position model. The record is from RNAcentral.